CUAUUUAGGUAGUGCCUCGAGAUUACACUGACGGGGGUAGAGCACUGUUAUGGCUAGGGGGUCAUUGCGAUUUACCAACCCAUGGCAAACUCCGAAUACCGUCAAGUGCGUCCUCGGGAGACAGACAGCGGGUGCUAACGUCCGUUGUCAAGAGGGAAACAACCCAGACCGCCAGCUAAGGUCCCAAAUGACAUGCUAAGUGGUAAACGAAGUGGGAAGGCCAAGACAGCCAGGAUGUUGGCUUAGAAGCAGCCAUCAUUCAAAGAAAGCGUAAUAGCUCACUGGUCGAGUCGUCCUGCGCGGAAGAUGUAACGGGGCUCAAGCAUGUAACCGAAGCUGCGGAUGCGUACUUGUACGCAUGGUAGGAGAGCGUUCUGUAGGCCUGCGAAGGUGGUGGUGUAAACCCUGCUGGAGGUAUCAGAAGUGCGAAUGCUGACAUGAGUAGCGAUAAAGCGGGUGAAAGUCCCGCUCGCCGAAAACCCAAGGUUUCCUACGCAACGUUCAUCGGCGUAGGGUGAGUCGGCCCCUAAGGCGAGGCAGAAAUGCGUAGUCGAUGGGAAACGGGUCAAGAUUCCCGUACCGGUUGUGAAUGCGAUGGGGGGACGGAGAAGGGUAGCUCAGCGGCCUGUUGGAAUAGGUCGUUUAAGCGUGUAGGAGUGGUCUCCUGGCAAAUCCGGAGAUCUUAUCUGAGGCGUGAUGACGAGGGUCUACGGACCUGAAGUGAGUAAUCCCAAGCUUCCAGGAAAAGCCUCUAAGCUUCAGUUCACAACUGACCGUACCGCAAACCGACACAGGUGGGUAGGUAGAGAAUACCAAGGCGCUUGAGAGAACUCGGGUUAAGGAACUCGGCAAAUUGACACCGUAACUUCGGGAGAAGGUGUGCCCCGGUAGCGUGUAGGACUUCGCGUCCGAAGCGUGAUGGGGUCGCAGAGAAUAGGUGGCUGCGACUGUUUAAUAAAAACACAGCUCUGUGCCAACACGAAAGUGGACGUAUACGGAGUGACGCCUGCCCGGUGCCGGAAGGUUAAGUGAUG
RNAcentral lists this ribosomal RNA (1034 nucleotides) under Laribacter hongkongensis. RNAcentral's name for it is "partial 23S ribosomal RNA". It matches the Rfam family "Bacterial large subunit ribosomal RNA", at positions 866 to 1886 of the family's 2925-position model. Lineage: Bacteria; Pseudomonadati; Pseudomonadota; Betaproteobacteria; Neisseriales; Aquaspirillaceae. The record is from RNAcentral.